AGGGUUUGAUCCUGGCUCAGGAUGAACGCUAGCGGCAGGCUUAACACAUGCAAGUCGAGGGGUAACAGGAAAAAGCUUGCUUUUUUGCUGACGACCGGCGCACGGGUGCGUAACGCGUAUGCAACCUACCUCUUACUGGGGAAUAGCCCGGAGAAAUCCGGAUUAAUGCCCCAUAGUAUUUUCGGAUUGCAUGAUUUGAAAAUUAAAGGUUACGGUAAGAGAUGGGCAUGCGUCCCAUUAGCUAGAUGGUAAGGUAACGGCUUACCAUGGCAACGAUGGGUAGGGGGCCUGAGAGGGUGAUCCCCCACACUGGUACUGAGACACGGACCAGACUCCUACGGGAGGCAGCAGUGAGGAAUAUUGGACAAUGGACGCAAGUCUGAUCCAGCCAUGCCGCGUGCAGGAAGACUGCCCUAUGGGUUGUAAACUGCUUUUAUUUGGGAAUAAACCCCUCUACGUGUAGAGGGCUGAAGGUACCAAACGAAUAAGCACCGGCUAACUCCGUGCCAGCAGCCGCGGUAAUACGGAGGGUGCAAGCGUUAUCCGGAAUCAUUGGGUUUAAAGGGUCCGCAGGCGGACGUAUAAGUCAGUG
RNAcentral lists this ribosomal RNA (592 nucleotides) under uncultured bacterium. Its description in RNAcentral is "bacterial SSU rRNA". It matches the Rfam family "Bacterial small subunit ribosomal RNA", at positions 8 to 593 of the family's 1533-position model. The record is from RNAcentral.